This 1548-nucleotide long non-coding RNA is filed under the name Nicotiana benthamiana. RNAcentral's name for it is "long non-coding RNA (NBEN_LNC007257)". Lineage: Eukaryota; Viridiplantae; Streptophyta; Magnoliopsida; Solanales; Solanaceae. The record is from RNAcentral.
CCCAUUUCAGUCAAAUGCCAUACCGAGGGACUACACAGCUGAGGCGAGAAGGAAAGGAAAAGUGCGCACUAGUGAAGUAGUUUCCGCGCAAGGUAUGACUAGAACAGGUAGGGCAUACACACCAGAGCACCUAGCUGAGUCCAGCAAGCAGGCCUCUGGACGUCCUAUAGAAACUGGACCUGAUGAUCUCUGGAGAAAGAUACACGCUAAGGAAUAUUCAGUUGUUGAACAGAUAAACAAGACUCCGGUGCAGAUUUCCAUCUUAGCAUUACUUCAGAGUUCUGAGGCGCAAAAGAAUGCCUUGAUGAAGAUAUUGAGCGAGGCUUAAGUCCCGAGCAACAUAACAUGAGGAGAAAUGGAAAACAUGAUAGGGCAGGUAUUGGAAAGUCACAAAAUCACUUUUCACGAGGAUGAAUUGCCACGUGAAGGGCUUAGUCAUAUCAAAGCACCGCAUCAUUUCAUCACCAGAAUCUUAGUCGAUGAAGAUUCCAGUCUCAACAUUUGUCCACUGAUCACCUCAAGAAGUUAGUGAAAGGAUUGCAUGAGAUAAAAGAUGGGGCUAUUAAUUUUAAGGCUUUUGACGGUUCUCAGAGGUCCACUCUUGGGGAGAUUAGCAUGUGUUUUCAAAUGGGACCCACUUGGUUUGAUGUCGAUUUCCAAGUCAUGGACGUACCGGUAUCUUACAACUUACUGCUAGGAUGACCCUGGAUCCACGCCGCUGGGGCUGUAGCAUCAACCUUACACCAGGCUGUGAAGUUCGAAUGGAACCACCAGGAAGUAAUUAUCCAUGGCGAUGGUAGCAACCUCAUAUACAGUUGCCAGACCCUUCCAAUGAUCGUAGGCAGAAGUGAAUAGGCGAGAAACAUAUCAUCAUAUUGAGCGAGUCAACGUGGUGGAUAAAGACAAAUGAUGGAGCAACAAGGUCUAGAGCAUUCUAAAUUGGAGUGGGUAUGAGCCAGGGAAAGGGCUUGGUAAGAAUCUUCAAGGUAUCACCAAACCUAUCUAGUUGAAGAAACAUGGUACUACCUUCGGACUGGGGUAUGAGUAUAUUUGGCAGGAAUUCAAAAAUUGGUCACCACCAUUGCGCGGCCCAUAUUACCCAUUGGCACGUCACCAAACCUAUUCAGUUGAAGAAACAUGGUACUACCUUUGGACUGGGGUACGAGUACACUUUGGCAAGAAUUCAGAAACUGGUUACCACCAUGGUGAGACCCAUAUUACCCAUUGGGAUGCCCCAUACCUCAGUUGGAUCAGACAUUUCAACCAGCCGACACUCUCUACUGGUCAGAAGAAGACAAGGCUCUUGCGGAAAUUAAGAACAUGUUUCUGGAGGACAUGGACUGUUGUGUGAUUUUUGAAGAGGAACGGGAGGAAGGCCCUUCCAUUCAGGUUGUGAACCGAGGGGAGCGCCUCACCAACUGGUCAAUUAGGACCACCAUCGCCCGGAAACCUGUGGGGUAGCAAGGCUGAACAAGCAUCAUGCAUCAUUGUUUUAGUUGUUUUCUUUAUUUUCCGCAUUUGUCUUUACUUUACAAAUGAGCUCCGAUG